UAUGGGCCUUGGGCGAAAGCUGGACCCAGCGACACCGCGUGGGGGAUGAAGGUUCUCGGAUCGUAAACCCCUUUUCUCAGGGAAGAUAAUGACGGUACCUGAGGAAUAAGUCUCGGCCAACUACGUGCCAGCAGCCGCGGUAAU
This 144-nucleotide ribosomal RNA is filed under the name uncultured Banisveld landfill bacterium BVB85. RNAcentral describes it as "partial 16S ribosomal RNA". It matches the Rfam family "Bacterial small subunit ribosomal RNA", at positions 363 to 524 of the family's 1533-position model. The record is from RNAcentral.